GGAAUCGUGCCCGAAUGUUUAAGGAACACUUUGAUAGAGUGUACUAUAGAGGUUAAAGUCCUCUCGCUUCCU
Molecule: transfer RNA, 72 nt
Filed under: Papyrocranus congoensis
Lineage: Eukaryota; Metazoa; Chordata; Actinopteri; Osteoglossiformes; Notopteridae
Description: tRNA-Ile
Rfam family: tRNA
About the family: Transfer RNA (tRNA) molecules are approximately 80 nucleotides in length. Their secondary structure includes four short double-helical elements and three loops (D, anti-codon, and T loops).
Source: RNAcentral